Long non-coding RNA from Musca vetustissima, 342 nucleotides. RefSeq lists it as uncharacterized. The record is from RefSeq and is a predicted model, not a curated record. NCBI's taxonomy places the organism in Eukaryota, Metazoa, Arthropoda, Insecta, Diptera, Muscidae. The transcript has 2 exons.
CAAUCGCAGAACAAAACAUCUCGAGUAAAAAGAGCGACUGUAGUUGGAAACCCCAUGUUCUCAUCUACUGUGGACGAUAACAAUGAUGAAGAGGAAUGCUUAAGCCUAGAUGAUCUCGAUAUGGAUUACGAACAGAUUAUGCAUUAUUUUGACAAUUUGAAGGAAUCAAAUGCCUGAGUCUGUAGCAUAAUCACUGAUGUCCAAACAAUUCUAAACAGUUUUCAACAGCAAUAUGAUAAUAUAAAUAUCGAUGCUAGUCCAAACCACUAACAUAACACAACACCAAAAUGGAGCUUGAAAUGGUCUAUUAUAAAAGUUAAACCACGCUGCAAAUCACUUUAA